UUACAGCCAUAUCAUGUUGAAACACCCGUUCCUCUAUGAUCACUGAAAUUAAGCAAUGUUGAGCCUGGUCAGUACCUAGAAGAGUGACUGCUUGGAAAUACCAGGUGCUGCAA
Molecule: non-coding RNA, 113 nt
Organism: Acanthosepion pharaonis
Lineage: Eukaryota; Metazoa; Mollusca; Cephalopoda; Sepiida; Sepiidae
Source: the annotation of a GenBank genome assembly